This 948-nucleotide long non-coding RNA is filed under the name Canis lupus familiaris (dog). RNAcentral's name for it is "lncRNA (ENSCAFG00030026089.1)". The record is from RNAcentral. Lineage: Eukaryota; Metazoa; Chordata; Mammalia; Carnivora; Canidae.
GGGGCCCUGGAAGCUGGAUCUGGAAAGCUUGGUGGUGCUCAUGUUCAGGGGGCAAUCUGGAGCCACGGGGUGGAGAGAAUGAGAUGUGGUUUGCAGCUCAGUGCUCAUUGCUGUUCAUUCUCCAGGAGGACAUGAGGAUUGUUGUGCCUUUUGGUGCCAAGAAGCCUGCAAGUACCAAGUGGAAAUCCCUGGCCUCAUCCCUCCUUCACAGCUCCUCAGAAAGGCAUCACACCGGAAUGCUCCCUCACUGUCGCUGACCAUGUGAUGUUCUUGGCCAUGGGGAUGUCAGCGCACAUGACAAGCAGUCGGGGCUGCCCUUGCCCUGGCCCUGUGCUGUGGCAAUGAGAACCCGGAGGAGCCAGAGGAGUGACCGUCACUGUUCAUCGAGGCCAUCCUGGGCCAGCCAGCACCCAGCUGACCCCGGACACAUGGGUAAGCACAGCCCAGGCCAGAACUCUCUAGACUGACGUGGGGCAUGUGAGCGUUCCCACCACAGAGCAGCCCAAAUGAGCCCAGAUCGGCUGAACCUCAUGGAACCCCGAGCUCAAUAAAUAUUAAUUUGUGUAUGACAUCCAGUUUUCUAUGGCUGUUUUUCACUGAGCAUGAUUGGUGGAUAAUUGAUCAUUGACCACUAGGUUAACUCUCACACUGUACCUGGACCUCAUCAAGGGCCAGGCCGUGAGUGCCACACAAGUGACAAAUGUUGAAAAACUCAUGAGUGAGUUUAGGUGAAAUCUCAGAGUGUGGGGACUCAACCAGCUUGCUCACCAGCCCGGUUCAGGCUUAUCAGACCCAGGUGACACUGUCCAAAAUCCUGGUUCAAGGGUGAGUCAGUCAACUUAGCGCUUGUUGGCCAUCAGAUGCACAUAGGUAGGACUUAAUAAAGCAAAGGUGGACUCUGAGCCACCCAGAAUGGAUGUGGAAAUUACCCACAUCCAUUGAGGGGAG